AAAUGAUGAAGACAUUAGGCAAAUUGUAUUAAGUGAAAGUGGUGGAUAUGCCUGAAUUCUGUGUUUAUUACCACAGGGAUAAUUCAGCUUCAGACUACAGUCUUCAUUGUGUUUGUUUACCAAGUGGGAGGGCCAGGUUAGUACAGAUGUGCUUUUAACUUUUAAGUCACCUAAGAAAAAACAGGGGUGCUAUUCUUCAGGACCAGGAGGGUAAAUUAAGAUAGUUAUUUUAUUUCUCUUCUCAUUCAAUCCAAUGAAUCUGUCUAAUUUUAGUUUCAUAGAUGGAGAAAUAAAUAUUAUCACAGGAAAAAUGACUCCAAAAGGUAAACGGCAUCACUACCCAAAACAUCCACACACACGUUUAAAUCUGUGGGUAGAAUUUGAACAUUAUGAAGCACAGAGGAGCUUUCAAAACUUCUAGAGCAUCUAAAGGAUGCUUUACAUGUUCAUAUCUCAAUCAAUUUUUCUAUGAGUUUUUGAAACAGGUGGCUUUAAAGGUCAAAUCGGGUGGCUUUUAGGAAGUCAAAUUAGCCACUAGGAGUUUUUUAAUGUCCCAGAAAAUUCCAACAGCUUCCUUUGAGCAAGUUCUUGAGGCUCCAAAAACUUUAAACCAGCUGACCCAGCUAAAUGAAUUUGUUGAAGGAACCCAGACCACUCUGAGUUCCUACAGCAUAUUAUCAUUGCUGACAAGGAUGGGCCCAUCCAGCUCCCACACUCUGCAAGGGUCAGGGGUGGGGCAGAAGCCGCCAGAAGCAAGGAGAAAGUAGGAAGAAAUUCCCUCCAAAAAAUGCCCACAUCAUAUUACAAUCUAGUCUCAGUCCUCCAGACUGUUGGCAGAAGAUGCUAAAGGCUAUGGUUUGAUUAUGGCCCCUAAAGUCUAUGUGUUGGCAAUUUAUUGCCCAAUGCAACUAUGUUGAAAG
This 920-nucleotide long non-coding RNA is filed under the name Homo sapiens (human). RNAcentral describes it as "HSALNT0162527". The record is from RNAcentral. Lineage: Eukaryota; Metazoa; Chordata; Mammalia; Primates; Hominidae.